UAAUUGAAUAUAUAAGAAACUUAUUUAUCUUGCUAAUGAUUGGGGCAAGGUCUCUACAAGAUGCCAAACAUCUAACAAUAAGUGAGUCUAAUGACUUU
This 98-nucleotide non-coding RNA is filed under the name Streptococcus sinensis. Its description in RNAcentral is "Guanine sequence". It matches the Rfam family "Purine riboswitch aptamer". From Rfam's summary of the family: Riboswitches are metabolite binding domains within certain messenger RNAs that serve as precision sensors for their corresponding targets. Allosteric rearrangement of mRNA structure is mediated by ligand binding, and this results in modulation of gene expression. Lineage: Bacteria; Bacillati; Bacillota; Bacilli; Lactobacillales; Streptococcaceae. The record is from RNAcentral.